Molecule: ribosomal RNA, 253 nt
Filed under: uncultured bacterium
Lineage: Bacteria
Description: partial 16S ribosomal RNA
Rfam family: Bacterial small subunit ribosomal RNA
Source: RNAcentral
UACGGAGGAUCCAAGCGUUAUCCGGAAUCAUUGGGUUUAAAGGGUCCGUAGGCGGCCCGAUAAGUCAGUGGUGAAAUCUCCCGGCUCAACCGGGAAAUGGCCAUUGAUACUGUCGGGCUUGAAUUAUUAGGAAGUAACUAGAAUAUGUAGUGUAGCGGUGAAAUGCUUAGAUAUUACAUGGAAUACCAAUUGCGAAGGCAGGUUACUACUAAUGGAUUGACGCUGAUGGACGAAAGCGUGGGGAGCAAACAGG